UAUCAUCUCAUUUUCUUGAAAUUUUAUUGAAAAUAUUAUUGUGAUGGACUGCACUUUGUAUGUGGAAAUACAUGCGACAAACGAAGUGAGGUAUGAAAAGGCUCUCGAGGACUGGUCUGACAGCCUUGCCCUUGCUUCUUUCCUGGAUCUGUGGUAGCUGGAAGGGUCUGGGCCUGCAUCCAGGGGAAAAAAAGAGUUCAGGACCCUCUACACUGAAGAGCAGCAAGCCACACACGGCUGCUGGAUGUAACAGGGUGCUGCCUGCGGGUGUGCUGGGAAAGACUUGCGAUUCAUGGGGCCAGAAGGCAUUGAGGGCUGCACUAAAUAACUCUGGAGUAAGUGCAGAUGGAGUAGGACGUGAAAAGUACAACUUCUUGCUGAAUUGUGCAGAUCAUAGCGAGGCUGUUGUGAGAAUCCCAUGCUCCAGCGAUCCCAGGUAGCUGAAGUGGCCUUUGGGGAUUUUGGAUCAUAUCUGACAUUGUUCCAGCCUGGGCUGAGUAGACACAUAUAGCCC
This is a long non-coding RNA of Numida meleagris (helmeted guineafowl), 514 nucleotides long. The record is from Ensembl. NCBI's taxonomy places the organism in Eukaryota, Metazoa, Chordata, Aves, Galliformes, Numididae.